GACGAACGCUGGCGGCGUGCCUAAUACAUGCAAGUUGAGCGAUGAAGCUUGGUGCUUGCACCAAUUUGAAGAGCAGCGAACGGGUGAGUAACGCGCGGGGAAUCUGCCUUUGAGCGGGGGACAACAUUUGGAAACGAAUGCUAAUACCGCAUAACAACUUUAAACAUAAGUUUUAAGUUUGAAAGAUGCAAUUGCAUCACUCAAAGAUGAUCCCGCGUUGUAUUAGCUAGUUGGUGAGGUAAAGGCUCACCAAGGCGAUGAUACAUAGCCGACCUGAGAGGGUGAUCGGCCACAUUGGGACUGAGACACGGCCCAAACUCCUACGGGAGGCAGCAGUAGGGAAUCUUCGGCAAUGGACGAAAGUCUGACCGAGCAACGCCGCGUGAGUGAAGAAGGGUUUCGGAUCGUAAAACUCUGUUGGUAGAGAAGAACGUUGGUGAGAGUGGAAAGCUCAUCAAGUGACGGUAACUACCCAGAAAGGGACGGCUAACUACGUG
This 497-nucleotide ribosomal RNA is filed under the name uncultured bacterium. RNAcentral describes it as "partial 16S ribosomal RNA". It matches the Rfam family "Bacterial small subunit ribosomal RNA", at positions 28 to 507 of the family's 1533-position model. The record is from RNAcentral.